Molecule: non-coding RNA, 107 nt
Organism: Gossypium hirsutum (cotton)
Lineage: Eukaryota; Viridiplantae; Streptophyta; Magnoliopsida; Malvales; Malvaceae
Source: Rfam
AGACCAUGACGCGGACAUCUUUGGAUCAACAUCUUAUAUAGCUUCCAAGCUUCAUGAAAGCUUUCUCCUUCUAACUAUUUAAAAGUGUCAAUCUCUCCUCUGAGUUG